RNAcentral lists this ribosomal RNA (240 nucleotides) under uncultured bacterium. Its description in RNAcentral is "partial 16S ribosomal RNA". It matches the Rfam family "Bacterial small subunit ribosomal RNA", at positions 524 to 763 of the family's 1533-position model. The record is from RNAcentral.
UACGUAGGGGGCGAGCGUUAUCCGGAUUUAUUGGGUGUAAAGGGUGCGUAGACGGGAAUGCAAGUUAGUUGUGAAAUCCCUCGGCUUAACUGAGGAACUGCAACUAAAACUGUAUUUCUUGAGUGCAGGAGAGGAAAGUGGAAUUCCUAGUGUAGCGGUGAAAUGCGUAGAUAUUAGGAGGAACACCAGUGGCGAAGGCGACUUUCUGGACUGUAACUGACGUUGAGGCACGAAAGUGUG